This 432-nucleotide ribosomal RNA is filed under the name uncultured bacterium. Its description in RNAcentral is "partial 16S ribosomal RNA". It matches the Rfam family "Bacterial small subunit ribosomal RNA", at positions 29 to 507 of the family's 1533-position model. The record is from RNAcentral.
AGCGAACGCUGGCGGCAGGCCUAACACAUGCAAGUCGAACGGAUCCUUCGGGAUUAGUGGCGGACGGGUGAGUAACACGUGGGAACGUGCCCUUUGGUUCGGAACAACUCAGGGAAACUUGAGCUAAUACCGGAUGUGCCCUUCGGGGGAAAGAUUUAUCGCCAUUGGAGCGGCCCGCGUCUGAUUAGCUAGUUGGUGAGGUAACGGCCCACCAAGGCGACGAUCAGUAGCUGGUCUGAGAGGAUGAUCAGCCACACUGGGACUGAGACACGGCCCAGACUCCUACGGGAGGCAGCAGUGGGAAUCUUGCGCAAUGGGCGAAAGCCUGACGCAGCCAUGCCGCGUGAAUGAUGAAGGUCUUAGGAUUGUAAAAUUCUUUCAGCGGGGACGAUAAUGACGGUACCCGCAGAAGAAGCUCCGGCUAACUUCGUG